Molecule: ribosomal RNA, 253 nt
Filed under: uncultured bacterium
Lineage: Bacteria
Description: partial 16S ribosomal RNA
Rfam family: Bacterial small subunit ribosomal RNA
Source: RNAcentral
GACAGAGGGUGCAAACGUUGUUCGGAAUUACUGGGCGUAAAGCGCGUGUAGGCAGUUUCGCAAGUCGGGUGUGAAAGCCCUGGGCUCAACCUAGGAAGUGCACUCGAAACUGCGAGACUUGAGUCCUGGAGAGGAAGGCGGAGUUCUCGGUGUAGAGGUGAAGUUCGUAGAUAUCGAGAGGAACACCGGUGGCGAAGGCGGCCUUCUGGACAGUGACUGACGCUGAGACGCGAAAGCGUGGGGAGCAAACAGG